Molecule: ribosomal RNA, 499 nt
Filed under: uncultured bacterium
Lineage: Bacteria
Description: bacterial SSU rRNA
Rfam family: Bacterial small subunit ribosomal RNA
Source: RNAcentral
GAGUUGAUCAUGGCUCAGGAUGAACGCUGGCGGCGUGCUUAACACAUGCAAGUCGAACGGAGCCUAGCGAGUGCUGCACUGCGAAAGCUUAGUGGCGGACGGGUGAGUAACGCGUGGGUAACCUGCCCUGUACUGGGGGAUAACAGCCGGAAACGGCUGCUAAUACCGCAUAAGCCCACAUGGCCGCAUGGCCAAGGGGGGAAAAACUCCGGUGGUACAGGAUGGACCCGCGUCUGAUUAGCUAGUUGGUGAGGUAACGGCCCACCAAGGCGACGAUCAGUAGCCGGCCUGAGAGGGUGAACGGCCACAUUGGGACUGAGACACGGCCCAAACUCCUACGGGAGGCAGCAGUGGGGAAUAUUGCACAAUGGGGGAAACCCUGAUGCAGCGAACCGCCGCGUGAGCGAUGAAGUAUUUCGGUAUGUAAAGCUCUAUCAGCAGGGAAGAAAAUGACGGUACCUGACUAAGAAGCACCGGCUAAAUACGUGCCAGCAGCGGC